Molecule: ribosomal RNA, 490 nt
Filed under: uncultured bacterium
Lineage: Bacteria
Description: partial 16S ribosomal RNA
Rfam family: Bacterial small subunit ribosomal RNA
Source: RNAcentral
AUUGAACGCUGGCGGCAGGCCUAACACAUGCAAGUCGAACGGUAACAGGAAGCAGCUUGCUGCUUUGCUGACGAGUGGCGGACGGGUGAGUAAUGUCUGGGAAACUGCCCGAUGGAGGGGGAUAACUACUGGAAACGGUAGCUAAUACCGCAUAACGUCGCAAGACCAAAGAGGGGGACCUUAGGGCCUCUUGCCAUCGGAUGUGCCCAGAUGGGAUUAGCUAGUAGGUGGGGUAACGGCUCACCUAGGCGACGAUCCCUAGCUGGUCUGAGAGGAUGACCAGCCACACGGGAAGUGAGACACGGUCCAGACUCCUACGGGAGGCAGCAGUGGGGAAUAUUGCACAAUGGGCGCAAGCCUGAUGCAGCCAUGCCGCGUGUAUGACGAAGGCCUUCGGGUUGUAAAGUACUUUCAGCGGGGAGGAAGGGAGUAAAGUUAAUACCUUUGCUCAUUGACGUUACCCGCAGAAGAAGCACCGGCUAACUCCGUG